This 66-nucleotide transfer RNA is filed under the name Thermobia domestica (firebrat). Its description in RNAcentral is "tRNA-Leu". The record is from RNAcentral. Lineage: Eukaryota; Metazoa; Arthropoda; Insecta; Zygentoma; Lepismatidae.
AUUACUUUGGCAGAUAAGUGCAUUAGAUUUAGGAUCUAAGAAUGGAUGAAUUGAGUCCAGGUAAUA